GACGAACGCUGGCGGCGUGCUUAACACAUGCAAGUCGAACGGUGAAAGCGGAGCUUGCUCCGCUGGACCAGUGGCGAACGGGUGAGUAACACGUGGGCAACCUGCCCCUCACUUCGGGAUAACUCCGGGAAACCGGGGCUAAUACCGGAUAUGACCUCCUUGGGCAUCCUUGGAGGUGGAAAGUUUUUCGGUGAGGGAUGGGCCCGCGGCCUAUCAGCUUGUUGGUGAGGUAGUGGCUCACCAAGGCGACGACGGGUAGCCGGCCUGAGAGGGCGACCGGCCACACUGGGACUGAGACACGGCCCAGACUCCUACGGGAGGCAGCAGUGGGGAAUAUUGGACAAUGGGCGCAAGCCUGAUCCAGCCAUGCCGCGUGAGUGAUGAAGGCCUUAGGGUUGUAAAGCUCUUUCGUCCGGGACGAUAAUGACGGUACCGGAAGAAGAAGCCCCGGCUAACUUCGUGCCAGCAGCCGCCGUAA
RNAcentral lists this ribosomal RNA (478 nucleotides) under uncultured bacterium. Its description in RNAcentral is "partial 16S ribosomal RNA". It matches the Rfam family "Bacterial small subunit ribosomal RNA", at positions 28 to 523 of the family's 1533-position model. The record is from RNAcentral.